Molecule: ribosomal RNA, 481 nt
Filed under: uncultured bacterium
Lineage: Bacteria
Description: partial 16S ribosomal RNA
Rfam family: Bacterial small subunit ribosomal RNA
Source: RNAcentral
AUUGAACGCUGGCGGCAUGCCUUACACAUGCAAGUCGAACGGUAACGGGCCUUCGGGUGCCGACGAGUGGCGAACGGGUGAGUAAUACAUCGGAACGUGCCCGAUCGUGGGGGAUAACGAGGCGAAAGCUUUGCUAAUACCGCAUACGAUCUACGGAUGAAAGCAGGGGACCGCAAGGCCUUGCGCGGACGGAGCGGCCGAUGGCAGAUUAGGUAGUUGGUGGGAUAAAAGCUUACCAAGCCGACGAUCUGUAGCUGGUCUGAGAGGAUGAUCAGCCACACUGGGACUGAGACACGGCCCAGACUCCUACGGGAGGCAGCAGUGGGGAAUUUUGGACAAUGUGCGCAAGCCUGAUCCAGCCAUGCCGCGUGCAGGAUGAAGGCCUUCGGGUUGUAAACUGCUUUUGUACGGAACGAAAAGCCUUCUUUUAAUACAGGAGGGUCAUGACGGUACCGUAAGAAUAAGCACCGGCUAACUACGU